CAGUCGCCGCGGGAAUACGUAGGGUGCGAGCGUUAAUCGGAAUUACUGGGCGUAAAGCGUGCGUAGGCGGUGAGUUAAGUCUGCUGUGAAAUCCCCGGGCUCAACCUGGGAAUGGCAGUGGAUACUGGCUCGCUAGAGUGUGUCAGAGGAUGGUGGAAAUCCCGGUGUAGCGGUGAAAUGCGUAGAGAUCGGGAGGAACAUCAGUGGCGAAGGCGGCCAUCUGGGACAACACUGACGCUGAGGCACGAAAGCGUGGGGAGCAAACAGGAUUAGAUACCCCGGUAGUCCCUGUCUCUUAUAA
RNAcentral lists this ribosomal RNA (301 nucleotides) under uncultured bacterium. RNAcentral describes it as "partial 16S ribosomal RNA". It matches the Rfam family "Bacterial small subunit ribosomal RNA", at positions 509 to 809 of the family's 1533-position model. The record is from RNAcentral.